This 425-nucleotide ribosomal RNA is filed under the name uncultured bacterium. RNAcentral's name for it is "partial 16S ribosomal RNA". It matches the Rfam family "Bacterial small subunit ribosomal RNA", at positions 354 to 796 of the family's 1533-position model. The record is from RNAcentral.
GUGGGGAAUAUUGGACAAUGGGCGCAAGCCUGAUCCAGCCAUGCCGCGUGAGUGAUGAAGGCCUUAGGGUUGUAAAGCUCUUUCAGUAGGGAAGAUAAUGACGGUACCUACAGAAGAAGCCCCGGCUAACUUCGUGCCAGCAGCCGCGGUAAUACGAAGGGGGCUAGCGUUGUUCGGAUUUACUGGGCGUAAAGCGCACGUAGGCGGUUUGUUAAGUCAGGGGUGAAAUCCCGGGGCUCAACUCCGGAACUGCCGUUGAUGCUGGCAAGCUAGAGGCCGGAAGAGGUAAGUGGAACUACUAGUGUAGAGGUGGAAUUCGUAGAUAUUAGGAAGAACACCAGUGGCGAAGGCGGCUUGCUGGUCCGGAACUGACGCUGCGGUGCGAAAGCGUGGGGAGCAAACAGGAGUAGAUACCCUAGUAGUAC